GACGAACGCUGGCGGCGUGCUUAACACAUGCAAGUCGAACGGAAAGGCCCUGCUUUUGUGGGGUGCUCGAGUGGCGAACGGGUGAGUAACACGUGAGUAACCUGCCCUUGACUUUGGGAUAACUUCAGGAAACUGGGGCUAAUACCGGAUAGGAGCUCCUGCUGCAUGGUGGGGGUUGGAAAGUUUCGGCGGUUGGGGAUGGACUCGCGGCUUAUCAGCUUGUUGGUGGGGUAGUGGCUUACCAAGGCUUUGACGGGUAGCCGGCCUGAGAGGGUGACCGGCCACAUUGGGACGGAGAUACGGCCCAGACUCCUACGGGAGGCAGCAGUGGGGAAUAUUGCACAAUGGGCGGAAGCCUGAUGCAGCAACGCCGCGUGCGGGAUGACGGCCUUCGGGUUGUAAACCGCUUUCGCCUGUGACGAAGCGUGGGUGACGGUAAUGGGUAAAGAAGCACCGGCUAACUACGUG
RNAcentral lists this ribosomal RNA (468 nucleotides) under uncultured bacterium. Its description in RNAcentral is "partial 16S ribosomal RNA". It matches the Rfam family "Bacterial small subunit ribosomal RNA", at positions 28 to 507 of the family's 1533-position model. The record is from RNAcentral.